AGUCUGAUGCAGCGACGUCGUGUGGGGGAUGAAGGCCUUCGGGUUGUAAACUCCUUUCCCCUGCGGAAAAGGCAGGGUUUUGGCCUUGUUGAUGGUAGUGGGUAAAGAAGCGCCGGCUAACUACGUGCCAGCAGCCGCGGUAAUACGUAGGGCGCGAGCGUUGUCCGGAAUUAUUGGGCGUAAAGGGCUCGUAGGCGGUUUGUCGCGUCUAGCGUUUAAGGCUCGGGCUUAACCCGGGUUUGCGUUGGGUACGGGCAGGCUUGAGUGCGGUAGGGGUAACUGGAAUUCCUGGUGUAGCGGUGGAAUGCGCAGAUAUCAGGAGGAACACCGGUGGCGAAGGCGGGUUACUGGGCCGUUACUGACGCUGAGGAGCGAGAGCGUGGGGAGCGAACAGGAUUAGAUACCCUGGUAGUCCAUGCUGUAAACGUUGGGCACUAGGUGUGGGGGCUGGUUUCAUGGUUUCCGCGCCGUAGCUAACGCAUUAAGUGCCCCGCCUGGGGAGUACGGCCGCAAGGCUAAAACUCAAAGGAAUUGACGG
This 538-nucleotide ribosomal RNA is filed under the name uncultured Actinomyces sp. RNAcentral describes it as "bacterial SSU rRNA". It matches the Rfam family "Bacterial small subunit ribosomal RNA", at positions 380 to 916 of the family's 1533-position model. Lineage: Bacteria; Bacillati; Actinomycetota; Actinomycetes; Actinomycetales; Actinomycetaceae. The record is from RNAcentral.